AGAGUGCUGUCUAAGGGUGAAAAGCAAGCAUUUUUAAGCUGAGAAAAAAAGGAAAAUCAAUCAGAGGCACUGCACAAACAUCGGGCAUAGCCAAUACAACAAUUUGCAAUGUCCUAAAAAAAAGAAAGAAACCAAUGGUGUACUAACAGAGACUUGGAACAGAGAGCGGGAAAGAGCGAGCGAGAGAGAGAGAGAGAGAUUAUACUUACUAAUACGGUAAGUGGGCUGGAGUGUAUCUGCAUGAUCGUGACUGCGGUGCACGUGGGCGCCUGGCUGUAGGGUGAUGGUGUUCUCUGAGUCACGAUGAAAAAGGUGGGAUGCUGUUACACUAAACUACUUAGAGGAAACUGGGCAGAUACAGUGACUGUGUGUUUUACAGGAAGAGCGAAUAGGGGCAUCUGUUCCUGAUCAUGUACUGUG
Ictalurus punctatus (channel catfish) is the source of this 420-nucleotide long non-coding RNA. The record is from Ensembl. NCBI's taxonomy places the organism in Eukaryota, Metazoa, Chordata, Actinopteri, Siluriformes, Ictaluridae.